This is a small nuclear RNA of Psammomys obesus (fat sand rat), 105 nucleotides long. The record is from RefSeq and is a predicted model, not a curated record. NCBI's taxonomy places the organism in Eukaryota, Metazoa, Chordata, Mammalia, Rodentia, Muridae.
GUACUCGAUUCGGCAGCACACAUACUAAAAUUCCAACGUUACAGACAAGAUUAGCAUGGCCUGGGCAAGGGUGACACACAGAUUCAAGAAGCCUUCCAUAUUUCU